AGCCCCUCGGUGUUUAUCACAUUCUCACACUGAUGGGCAGAAAGAGGUGGGAGAGGAAACUGAGCCCAUAUACACCCUGGCCCAGACCCUGUGUCUGCUCCAUAUUAUGAAUGAAGAGAUGUGG
Molecule: small nucleolar RNA, 124 nt
Filed under: Nannospalax galili (Upper Galilee mountains blind mole rat)
Lineage: Eukaryota; Metazoa; Chordata; Mammalia; Rodentia; Spalacidae
Description: Small nucleolar RNA SNORA51 (ENSNGAG00000004271.1)
Rfam family: Small nucleolar RNA SNORA51
About the family: ACA51 is a member of the H/ACA class of snoRNA that guide the sites of modification of uridines to pseudouridines.
Source: Rfam by way of RNAcentral